CGAUAAAGUGAUGCAGUAUUUGCAUGUAGCCUAUGCACAUCCUCUAGGUUACUUACAAUAUCUAAUACAAUAAUGCCAGCUCCACGAGGACAAGAACCCCCAGUCCCUGACUCACAGCUUGAGCUCCAGCACGGCUCCGGGAAACCCACAGCCAGAGCUUACAUUUUCCCAUAAUCUGGGCACUGAUGCCCCCACCACGUGCACCAGGUACUAGCCUGAUAGGACUACCACCCCCAGCAUGCCUCGCGCGUUUGGGACGUACCACAGCUUGUAGGGAUAUCUGGGUCUGAAAAGGGC
This is a long non-coding RNA of Tupaia belangeri chinensis (Chinese tree shrew), 297 nucleotides long. RefSeq lists it as uncharacterized. The record is from RefSeq and is a predicted model, not a curated record. NCBI's taxonomy places the organism in Eukaryota, Metazoa, Chordata, Mammalia, Scandentia, Tupaiidae. The transcript is spliced from 3 exons.